UGGAACCCUGGAACCCUGAAAACCUGGCACCCUGAAUCCCUGGAAACCUGGAACCCUGAAUCCCUGGAACUCUGGCACCCUGGAAACCUGGAACCCUGGAAACCU
This is a non-coding RNA of Caenorhabditis elegans, 105 nucleotides long. The record is from Ensembl. Lineage: Eukaryota; Metazoa; Nematoda; Chromadorea; Rhabditida; Rhabditidae.